GCGGACGGGUGUCCGCUGGGAUGUAGCCUAUGGGCUGAACCAUAAA
The submitters of this non-coding RNA (46 nucleotides) gave its source as unclassified sequences. The record is from Rfam.